GACGAACGCUGGCGGCGUGCUUAACACAUGCAAGUCGAACGCUGAAGCACCAGCUUGCUGGUGUGGAUGAGUGGCGAACGGGUGAGUAAUACGUGAGUAACCUGCCCUUGACUCUGGGAUAAGCCCGGGAAACUGGGUCUAAUACUGGAUGCUACAUGUCACCGCAUGGUGGUGUGUGGAAAGGGUUUACUGGUCUUGGAUGGGCUCACGGCCUAUCAGCUUGUUGGUGAGGUAAUGGCUCACCAAGGCGACGACGGGUAGCCGGCCUGAGAGGGUGACCGGCCACACUGGGACUGAGACACGGCCCAGACUCCUACGGGAGGCAGCAGUGGGGAAGAUUGCACAAUGGGCGAAAGCCUGAUGCAGCGACGCCGCGUGAGGGAGGACGGCCUUCGGGUUGUAAACCUCUUUCAGCAGGGAAGAAGCCACAAGUGACGGUACCUGCAGAAGAAGCGCCGGCUAACUACGUG
Molecule: ribosomal RNA, 470 nt
Filed under: uncultured bacterium
Lineage: Bacteria
Description: partial 16S ribosomal RNA
Rfam family: Bacterial small subunit ribosomal RNA
Source: RNAcentral